RNAcentral lists this ribosomal RNA (426 nucleotides) under uncultured bacterium. RNAcentral's name for it is "bacterial SSU rRNA". It matches the Rfam family "Bacterial small subunit ribosomal RNA", at positions 356 to 774 of the family's 1533-position model. The record is from RNAcentral.
AAGGAAUAUUGGUCAAUGGACGCAAGUCUGAUCCAGCCAUGCCGCGUGAGUGAAGAAGGCCCUCGGGUUGUAAAGCUCUUUUGUCCGGAAAGAAAAGCUUCGGGUUAAUACCCCGGGGUUCUGACGGUACCGGAAGAAUAAGCACCGGCUAACUUCGUGCCAGCAGCCGCGGUAAUACGAAGGGUGCAAGCGUUACUCGGAAUUACUGGGCGUAAAGCGUGCGUAGGUGGUUGUUUAAGUCUGAUGUGAAAGCCCUGGGCUCAACCUGGGAAUGGCAUUGGAAACUGGGCAGCUAGAGUGCGGUAGAGGGUAGUGGAAUUCCCGGUGUAGCAGUGAAAUGCGUAGAGAUCGGGAGGAACAUCUGUGGCGAAGGCGACUGCCUGGACCAGCACUGACACUGAGGCAUGAAAGCGUGGGGAGCAAACA